GUUGGUCAUUUAGUUAUUUUUUGUCGGAAAACUUUCAUUGAUUGAUGCCCAUAGGUAUCAGACUUUACAAUUUUAAGAGGCCCAAUAUAAUUUUUUUAAAAGUUUACAGCCUAAAUUUAAAGAGAAGGGAAUCAACGUUCGCUAGGUUUCUAGAGACACGUCUUGGACACACAUCACUUAUGUCGUUAAUAACAAUUUCGGCCGCCACUGCAGACCUUCAACAUCGCUAAAUCUCUAUAUCGCUUCUCCGACUUCUUAGCACAUCUCCAAGAAACAGAGCAUAAGAAGCUCUAGACAUUGAUACCAAUCGAGUUGUCCCUUCUCUUUCACUUUCCUUGCUCAUUCACGACCUUCAUCAUCUUUCUACUGGAGCGCAUCAGCCAUCUCAGAUAACCAUGACUCGGAAACCUUUAAAGCUGACCACUAAGGACUGCGGCAUGAAGCAGGCACGAUGUUACCCAAUCAAGAAAGAUGGGUCUGAUUGCUUAGAGAUCGGCCGGGAUAAAACUUAGAAAUCUCGAAGAAUCACUCUGAAAGUUGAUAGAAAAUGGAAAAAAUAUUAUUCAACCCCAAAUCAAAAAGACAAGAAAGAGACCAUGAAGAAUAGCUAUGAUUGAGGUUGAAAUCACAACAAUAAUUGCCAAAGCGAAGUGAGAAUCUGAUUAAACGAAAGAGAAAAUCGAUCUCUCGAUCGAAACUAUUAUACAAACGAACAAAAAAAAACAUAACUAUUUCCUUCUAAAAGAUAUUUGAUGUGGUAAGAAGGAAAGAGAGAAAACAUUCUCUCUCUAAAGAAGAGAGAGAUGCUCCUCUGAACCAGGGACGGGCCUGAAUACAAGCCCAUCAAUCAUUUGAUUGACGGCCGAGGGCCGAUCAGUAUAAAAAAUAUUAUGGGGCCAAUUUUUAUAACGAUUAGAUAGCAGAGAUGGUGCAAGAAGCUAUUAUAUGGGUCUCUUCCUUAGGCUCCCUGGGUUCGAGUGCUGAGUAGUGCGGAUCUGGGCCAAAAAAAGUUUCUCUCGCUUCUAGUCUGCCAAAUGUAAGGAUCUGAACUUCAAAGACUUGGUCAUAUAGCAUUAGCUUGGAUUCCUAAAUUUCUAACUAGUUUAGUUUAGAUUAGUUUCUGUUGGUAAAAAAAAUGUCUUAAAUUUUCAAGGUAUUUAUUAUAAUUGGUGUGUAAAUAAACAUUAUUUCGUUUGUGAUGGGU
RNAcentral lists this long non-coding RNA (1204 nucleotides) under Brassica napus (rape). RNAcentral describes it as "long non-coding RNA (BNAP_LNC013216)". The record is from RNAcentral. Lineage: Eukaryota; Viridiplantae; Streptophyta; Magnoliopsida; Brassicales; Brassicaceae.